GGUUGCAGGGGGUGUAAGGAGUGAACUGUGUGGUGGGGAGGGGGCUGCAGGGCCAGCCCCAGGGCCAGCAGCCAGAACAGGACUUUGCUUUUGCUGUGAGUGUCCCAGAGUUUGUGUGUCCCAGGGUUUCCUGCCAGGGCUCAGCCCCAGAGAAGCCACAGACGGUGACAGGGGUGGCACUCAGGGGUGGCACUCGGUGCUUCCAUUCCUGAGGUGAGGGAGCAGCAGGUGGCUGGACCAAGAGACGAUUCUGCAGGAUGGCGGGAGCUGCUCUUGCAGUUUGGUAAUACCUGUGUGGUCUUUUUGGGUUAUCAUAGAAGGGUUUGGGCUGAAAGGGACCAUAGGAACUAUCUCCUUCCACCCCCUGCCAUGGGCAAGGACACCUUCCACUAUCCCAGGCUGCCCCAAGCCCUGUCCAGCCUGGCCUUGAGUAUGUCCAGAGCUUCUCUGGACGCCCUGUGCCAGUGCCUCCCCACCCUCCCUAAUUCCCUAAUACCCCAUCUAACCCUUCCCUGUGCCUGUUGAAACCAUUCCCCCUUGUCCUGGCACUCCAUGCUCUUGUAAAACAUCCCCCUCCAGCUUUCCUGUAGGUUGUAGAAGGCAGUGCUGCCUAAUUGGAUGGUGAACAUGAAUAAAAUCCAUUUUUCAAAGUUGA
Molecule: long non-coding RNA, 655 nt
Organism: Taeniopygia guttata (zebra finch)
Lineage: Eukaryota; Metazoa; Chordata; Aves; Passeriformes; Estrildidae
Source: RefSeq, a predicted model, not a curated record